Paralichthys olivaceus (Japanese flounder) is the source of this 4634-nucleotide non-coding RNA. Lineage: Eukaryota; Metazoa; Chordata; Actinopteri; Pleuronectiformes; Paralichthyidae. The record is from RefSeq and is a predicted model, not a curated record.
CGACUGAUAAAAAGUGAGCAAAGCAUCAGACGCUGAGCAAAUUACCUGUCAGAGCUGAAGGAAGAGUUUCUGUCUGAAACAUCAGAGGCAGGUUUACUGUGUGUGUGUGCGUGUGUGCGUGUGUGUGUUAGUGUGUGUGUGUUGUUGAGUCACUUCUCAGUUUCAAAUGUAAAUUUUUUUCUGCCGCUGAUACAAACACGUGAGUUUCUGUUUCUUUGAUUCUUCAUUUGACGAAGAAAUCAGCUGCUCCUCAGUCUCUCAACGUUUCCGUCGUGAUCGAUGAAAUGAACCGUUUCAAAUCUUCAGUCAAACACAAAUCGUUCCGACUCAAUCGUCUUGGUCUUCGAGUGAAUCGGUGACGAAUGACGAGCUGGAAUUAUAAACUGAAUCUGACAGACUCACUGUUCAUCCUGUUGCUUGUUGUGUUUCUCUGAGUUUCCAGGUUGUUGUUCUAACACGGUGUAGGACCUUCAUGGUGUCCUGUGUGUAUUGUAGUGUUUUGUAUCCCUCCUAUAUGUUCAGACAAGUCACCGAGGGCGUGUGGAAGAGCGCCGACGACCUCUCCGCCCAGACCAAGCGAGCGGAGGACGUGAGCCGCGGCUCGGACCUGGACAUCCUGAACAGUCCCUCGCUCAGCGACCUCAGCACCAGCUCCGGCCUGGCCAACUGGAUGCCGGCGUCCGACGGAGACGCCUCGGGCCUGGAGCAGGACGUCCAGCCCUCCAUGACCUUCAGAAACCGAGUCCUCGACGAGCUGCCGACUCGGCGUCCUCCGGACAAGUCGGUGUCAGCUGAAGUCCGACUGGCGGCAGAGCGGGACUGGGAGGAGAAACGUGCCAGCUUGACCCAGUUCAGCGCCCAGGACAUCAAUCGCUUGCUGGAGGAGACGCAGGCCGAGCUGAUGAAGGCCAUCCCCGACCUCGACUUCGCUGCCAAGCACAUCAACAAGCCGGCAGUGCCCCCCAAGCCCCAGAUCACCAUCCCAAUUACACCCACCACAGCUACUUCAGCUGCAGCCGCUAACACCGGCGCCACGGCCACCGCCACCACGACACCCGGCGGCGACCAGCAGCCUGGCAAAGUGCAGCUGGCCGCCCAGAAGCUGAACAGUAUGGAGGGGGGCGGUUCACACCGAGGGUCGGUCGACCUCAACGUGACUCGGUACCGAACAGAGAAACCCUCCAAGUCUCCGCCACCGCCUCCGCCACGACGAAGCUUCCCCUCAGCACACGGCCUCACCACCAACCGCACCGGAGAGGUCGUCGUGACGACCAAGAACCUGAAGAUGGAGGACGAUGGCGACAUCCCCAAAACUCUGGUGAAGCUGAGGCGGACCCCGUCGGACACCCCCCGCCCUGCGUCGACGCCGCCUGUGAUCGCAGCGUCUGCGAUUCAGGACGAGGACGACGAGGAGAGGAUCAUAGCGGAGCUGGAGAUAUUUGAGAGAACGCCUGUAAAAGAUUGUUUUAAACGGCGCAGCAUCGCCGCCGCCGCUCCUCCCUGCACCUCCAGGCCCAGAAAGAACAGCAGUAACUCCCCGGGGCCGACGAAGGGCUUCACCGUCGCAGCCAGACUCAAACACCUCCAACAGGGCAGCCUGGAAAGACCCAAGACCCGCAAGCAGAAAGAGGAUUUCCCCAAAGUCCAGGGCCAGCAGCAGGUAUUCCACUUCUAAACCCUCUGAGGUCCGCCUCUCUUCUGCUGAACGUUUUCCUCCUGCGACUCCUGAGGAGGAGAAGACGAUGUGAGGUUACACAGACACCAGAGGGGAACAGUCUGCAGAACCCUUGAUUCUUACCAGUUCUCCAUGUGCGUUCUGACCUUUGAGUUCCUGGAUCUCACCUCGCUUGCUCAGAGAUCAAGUUUUUUUGUGGUGUGAGUUUGUCGUUGUUUUGAUUUCCAGAGGAAGGAUUUUGGUGCUUGUGACUGAUGAAUCGAGCUUCACUCUCACAGUCAGAUCCAUUCAGAGACGUCCUCCGCCUCCAUUUACUGCGACAUUAUCUCCAGCGAUGCCACGGAAAAGAUUCAUAUCUCAAGUGCUGAGCUUCAGCUGCAGAAACGCUGCCUGUCAUCAGUUUCCCUUCGCUGCUUUUUUCUCACAUCAUUUUGGCGCCGGUCUUCCUCUGUGUGUCUCUCUCUCUUUCUGUCUCUGUUGCUCUCUCUGUCUCUGUCGCUCUCUCUCUGUCUCUGUCGCUCUCUCCAGCUUUGCCUCCCUCAUCCUCUGUCUGCCUCUCAGGUCUCAGCAGGACUUAUUACGUGAGGAGUGAGUCCUCGGAUCAUUUGGACGUCUAGUUCAGACCUUGGAGGCGUGAGGUUUUGUCAUUUAAAAGAAUUUAUCUGACUCUGUGUGUUAGAGAUCAACAGAUUGUCAGAGCAGCGAACCUGAAGUCACAACACAUCAAUAGUUCUGGUUGAAAUGAUGUUUGCCUCGUCACACUUUAGAUCUAAUUCAUUUAAAACACAUUUAACUUCACGUUUUAUAAAUUCAUUGCUCACAUUUUCAUAUUUAAUAAACUGACACGAUAUCUGUGUCCCAGUUCCACACAACGUAUGGAUUCACUUUGGUUUCUGUUUUGUUUCGACCAAUGGAAACAUGGAGGAAGUAAUGAUACUGAAAGAUGAGUUCAUUUGAGAAAUUGUCAUGUAAGAAUCAACAUUGCUAAAUAUUUUAUUUAUAUUUUUAUAUUGUCAAAGAUGGUCAAACCUGGAGCGACAGAGAAAUCCGGAUUUUUAUUCACGCUCCCCAACCAACACAUGGAUGUUACAUUUCCCAGAAUGCAGCUUGAGUUGUGUUGGAUUGGUAGUUUGCUUCAUGUGCUAAUGAGAGGAUGAAAUAUUUCCCAAGGUCGACUGUUUGAGUAACAGAUCCGUAAAUCUGAGGAGGCGUCAGAGGCCAGAACACGGCACAACAUCAUCAUGAGAGUCAGACUCUGUGAUUGGACGGGACGUCACCGCGCUGAACUAAUUUGUAGUAAACUGAUCUUUAUCUGUGAAAUAUGUGGAGUUCGCUUUUUAAAACUAAUUCUAGAGCCGAGACACUUUGAAGAUCUCAGGAACCAAAAAUCUGAUUAUUGGGAAAAUGAAAUAGCUUCUUCUUUUUGCACCAAAUGGAAAUGUACAUAGAGUAUUUUGCUUUAUCAGGAAAAACACAUUUCACUGACAUGUAGGAUGCAGUACAAUGCUGCACACAGUGAGUAUGAAACUGGGACACAGCUCAUUUGUUACUCAGCCAACAUGUAGAUAUUCAGAUUUAAAUUCUUCCAAAGUGUUUUGUAGUAAAAGUUCCAGAGACAUCCUGGAUGUGCCAUGUUGGAAAUACAGAAAUACAGAGUGGAGAUGUUUUGGCGGUGAAAUAGAAAAACUGUGACAUGGAGCAAAUUCAAAAUGACAAGAGAAAUGAUUCCUCACACAGGCUCUGUGCUGUUUGACAUUUGUGCCAGAGGGAAGUCUGACGCUGUGAGUGUGUGUGUGUGUGUGUUGAAAUCGCAGUCGGAUGUGUCAGUACACACUUAAUACAUUGAAGGAAUGUAUUAGUAGUCUCAGAAAUAGCAUUAAAAACUAGCACAAAAUAGAAAAGCGCAGUAAAAGUAUAACCUGAAUCACAUCACAGAUAUAUUGUAUGUAUAUUAAACGACCAUUUAGUUUUUUUGUUUUGAAGAGAUUGAUUUAUUCAAAUGUAAAAAAGAAAAGUGUCAUCUAUGUUUUAUAUAAUCAAGCUUUUUUUGUAUUUUUAUACUUGAAGAGGAUUCAUAAAACAUGUAACACAUUUAUUCUGUAAAUUAUUAUUUUUCUGCGUUGAAGAUUUAUUUUUUUCUGCGAACCAUGACCACGUCGUGUCGUAGAGAUCACGGAGACCAGUCGGCGGCAGAGUGGGUCGUUACCGCCGCACUUCUAAAAAGCACAUAACCUCCUUCCUCUAAAACCAUCACGUCACUGAUAGAACCCCAUUUCGUUGCUGUUCUCCUCUAUUAUAACCAAUAGUGUACGUACACGACCCCGAAUAUACAGUUUAAACUAUAUCGAUGGUUUCUUGAUGAAUGUGUGGUCGUUUGAAUCAUUUGUGGAUGUUGAAAUCAUGUAUAUAAACCCAAAUACUAUAUUACAGAACUGAUUUUAUGUGAGAUUUUUUUAAACGUGGGAAAAAAGAAAUCCAAAAUGGCAUGCAUACUGUAUACAUUCCUGGAAAUCUGCACGCUGGCUCAACAGAGAUCUCAUUUUCUUGUCAAUAAUUCUGUGUAUAACUGUGAGCGUACGAUAGAGUAAACAAAAAUUGUACAGUAACAUAGAUUUUUGUAUUAUGUUGAAAAUGGGUCUGUAAAGGUCCUUUUACUGUCAGAAUAACGAAGAAGAGAAAAAAACCAUAUUCUAACUCUUGGGAAAGAUAUUUAAAUGAUAUUGUAUAUCGACUAAAUACUGAGAGUGAUGCUUGCUGUGUGGGGUAAGUGUUGUUUGUGAAUCGUGAAGAAGAAUGAUAAUCUACUACAAAGUCCGUUAUAUAACUAAAGACCAACUUAACAGUGCAAAACAUCACGCAACUUUGUGUAUGGAAAGUAAAAGUUGCUGCUUCGUGUGAGAAAAAUCAACCAAACCAAGCGGUUGCUGCUUUUGUACGUUCCUGUUGUGGUUUUGUGACA